Molecule: unclassified non-coding RNA, 200 nt
Filed under: soil metagenome
Description: partial contains internal transcribed spacer 2 and large subunit ribosomal RNA
Source: RNAcentral
CUAGUGUUGGCUCCUCUCAAAUGGAUCAGCUUGCCAGUGUUUGGUGGGGUCACAGGUGUGAUAACUAUCUACGCGUGUGUUCCCUGCCAUGUAACCUUCAGUGAUGGGGGUUCGCUGGAGCUCAUAGAUGUCUCUCCUCAGUGAGGACAGCUUUUUGAACGUUUGAUCUCAAAUCAGGUAGGACUACCCGCUGAACUUAA